RNAcentral lists this ribosomal RNA (312 nucleotides) under uncultured bacterium. RNAcentral's name for it is "bacterial SSU rRNA". It matches the Rfam family "Bacterial small subunit ribosomal RNA", at positions 28 to 334 of the family's 1533-position model. The record is from RNAcentral.
GACGAACGCUGGCGGCGUGCUUAGCACAUGCAAGUCGAACGGAAAGGCCCUGCUUUUGUGGGGUGCUCGAGUGGCGAACGGGUGAGUAACACGUGAGUAACUUGCCCUUGACUUUGGGAUAACUUCAGGAAACUAGGGGCUAAUACCGGAUAGGAGCUCCUGCUGCAUGGUGGGGGUUGGAAAGUUUCGGCGGUUGGGGAUGGACUCGCGGCUUAUCAGCUUGUCGGAGGGGUAGUGGCUUACCAAGGCGUUUGACGGGUAGCCGGCCUGAGAGGGUGGACCGGCCACAUUGGGACGUGAGAUACGGCCCAG